GGCGGCGCACAGAGCAGAGAGGCCGCGCAGAGCUGAGCGUCGUCGUCCCGCAGGGUGAGCACAGGCUCCUCUGGAAGUCGCCUCUCCCAACAGGAGUGACAGCACAGCACGGAGCGAUGGUGUUUGGCCACCUACACACAGGAAAAGGCUGUCCAUUCACAUCAUGUCCUCAGCUCACCACAUAAACGAUGGCCAGGUGUGGAUGCUUUCGUAUUCUGCGGGUUGGACUGCCACAAAAUCAUCAGCUGCAGCAUCCAAACCCAACAGGAAGUCCUUGGCUUCCUU
Long non-coding RNA from Chinchilla lanigera (long-tailed chinchilla), 285 nucleotides. RefSeq lists it as uncharacterized. The record is from RefSeq and is a predicted model, not a curated record. Lineage: Eukaryota; Metazoa; Chordata; Mammalia; Rodentia; Chinchillidae. The transcript is spliced from 3 exons.